Molecule: ribosomal RNA, 492 nt
Filed under: uncultured bacterium
Lineage: Bacteria
Description: partial 16S ribosomal RNA
Rfam family: Bacterial small subunit ribosomal RNA
Source: RNAcentral
AGUGAACGCUGGCGGUAGGCCUAACACAUGCAAGUCGAACGGCAGCACAGUAAGAGCUUGCUCUUACGGGUGGCGAGUGGCGGACGGGUGAGGAAUAAAUCGGAAUCUACAUUUUCGUGGGGGAUAACGUAGGGAAACUUACUCUAAUACCGCAUACGACCUACGGGUGAAAGCAGGGGAUCUUCGGACCUUGCGCGAUUGAAUGAGCCGAUGUCGGAUUAGUUAGUUGGCUGGGUACAGGCCCACCAAGGCGACGAUCCGUAGCUGGUCUGAGUGGAUGGUCGGCCACACUGGAACUGGGACACGGUCCAGACUCCUACGGGAGGCAGCAGAGGGGAAUAUUGGACAAAGGGCGCAAGCAUGAUCCAGCCAUACCGCGUGGGUGAAGAAGGCCUUCGGGUUGUAAAGCCCUUUUGUUGGGAAAGAAAAGCAGCAGGUUAAUACCCCGCUGUUCUGACGGUACCCAAAGAAUAAGCACCGGCUAACUUCGUG